RNAcentral lists this ribosomal RNA (279 nucleotides) under uncultured bacterium. RNAcentral describes it as "partial 16S ribosomal RNA". It matches the Rfam family "Bacterial small subunit ribosomal RNA", at positions 506 to 784 of the family's 1533-position model. The record is from RNAcentral.
UGCCAUCAGCCGCGGUAAUACGGAGGGUGCAAGCGUUAUCCGGAUUUAUUAGGUUUAAAGGGUGUGUAGGCGGACUUUUAAGUCAGUGGUGAAAUCCCGGGGCUCAACUCCGGAACUGCCAUUGAUACUGAAAGUCUUGAGUACGGGAGAGGAAAGUGGAAUUCCGAGUGUAGGGGUGAAAUCCGUAGAUAUUCGGAGGAACACCAGUGGCGAAGGCGGCUUUCUGGACCGAUACUGACGCUGAGACGCGAAAGCGUGGGGAGCAAACAGGAUUAGAUA